CACGCCCUAAACGAUGUCAACUAGGUGUUGGGAGGGUAAAACCUUUUAGUACCGUAGCUAACGCGAGAAGUUGACCGCCUGGGGAGUACGGCCGCAAGGUUAAAACUCAAAGGAAUUGACGGGGACCCGCACAAGCGGUGGAUGAUGUGGAUUAAUUCGAUGCAACGCGAAAAACCUUACCUACCCUUGACAUGUCAGGAACUUGCCAGAGAUGGCUUGGUGCUCGAAAGAGAACCUGAACACAGGUGC
RNAcentral lists this ribosomal RNA (249 nucleotides) under uncultured bacterium. RNAcentral's name for it is "partial 16S ribosomal RNA". It matches the Rfam family "Bacterial small subunit ribosomal RNA", at positions 796 to 1041 of the family's 1533-position model. The record is from RNAcentral.